UUUUUUCGUCGUGUCCGUAGUCGCUAAUCGGUUGAAUGCGCAAAGGCUGCAAAGGCGGUAGUAACAGAAGUAUGUGUAAGAACCGUUCUGCGUUCACGGGGAUUAUUUAUUAACCCAGUGAGAUGACGGUAACGGAACCAUGUUAGUUUUAGUCACCCCCUUCCCUUUUAUGUCCCCCUUUUUAGUCGACCCAAACCCUGGACAUUUUAGUCUAGUUUUAGUCAACAGAAACCUUUGACCUUUUCAGUCAUCAGGAGACUAGCUGACAAAAACGUGGCGAAGAGUUCGGUCUCGUUUUAGUCAAGGCCAAGAAAGAGCAUUUUCAGUCCAACCUCGGGAAACUUGCUUUCAAGAUAAGAUUUCAUCCGUCUGAUUUUUAGGCUAAAAGAAAAAAUUAAAAUGUAAAUAAGCCCCAAAAUGACAGGUUGUGUGAUGAAGGACGCGGCUUUGCAGAGAGGGCGCCUGGUCUGAUGUUAUUAGUUUAAGCCAUACGUCCGGACGUGAAAGAGGAUAAAACAGUGAAGGUCUGGACAGAUGCAGCAUCCUCAGCAAAUCCGAUGCACCAAACCGUUAAAUGUGGGGGUCCGCAGUGCCGCUAACACUGCUUUGUGUGAGACUUAAUAUGGCCCGAGUUAUUUAACAUCUCUUGAUGUGUCUCCCUGACAACCCUGAGGCAUGAGAACGACCUUAUUGUUGAAGGGAAGAAGAAAAAAAAAAAAAAAUGAACUGAACUUAAAAGACUAACUGCCGCGUAAAAAAAAUCCUGACGUGGGAACUGGAUCCUUACUUGGGUGCAGGCCUUCAGAAGCUGCACGGGCAGCUGCGUCAGGACUCUGCACAAACCCAGAUCUGGCAGCCAGAAACGGCAGACGGGGUGUUCGCUUUAACUCGAGCAAGUUUCAACGCUGAAAGGAGACUGUUUCAAGGACUUACGCCUUAGAAGCUUCCGUUUUAUCACCACGAAUAUAACUUGUUCUUGAUCACUACGUCCUCGGUUUCACAACCUGCGUCGCAGUGUUGGUACCUUUUUGUUCUUGCAAGCAAGUAUAGACGGCUCUCACAAUUGGAUAAAAUAUACAACUUGAGCCUGACUGUCUAAUUUGCACUUGAAAGACUUCUUGUUGUGAGGGAGCACGAGCAAAUCCUUAG
This is a long non-coding RNA of Xiphias gladius (swordfish), 1149 nucleotides long. RefSeq lists it as uncharacterized. Lineage: Eukaryota; Metazoa; Chordata; Actinopteri; Istiophoriformes; Xiphiidae. The record is from RefSeq and is a predicted model, not a curated record. The transcript has 3 exons.